GAGAUAACGCUGGCGGCGUGCUUAACACAUGCAAGUCGAACGAAGCCCCGCGACGGAUUCCUUCGGGAUGAAGGCGAGGGUGACUGAGUGGCGGACGGGCGAGUAACGCGUGGGCAACCUGCCCCGCACCGGGGGAUAGCAGCCGGAAACGGCUGGUAAUACCGCAUAAGCGCACGGCGAGGCAUCUCGCUGUGACGAAAAACCUCGGUGGUGCGGGAUGGGCCCGCGUCCGAUUAGCUGGUUGGCGGGGCAGCGGCCCACCAAGGCGACGAUCGGUAGCCGGCCUGAGAGGGCGGCCGGCCGCAUUGGGACUGAGACACGGCCCAAACUCCUACGGGAGGCAGCAGUGGGGAAUAUUGCACAAUGGGGGGAACCCUGAUGCAGCGACGCCGCGUGGGCGAGGAAGUAUUUCGGUACGUAAAGCCCUAUCGGCAGGGAAGAACGAUGACGGUACCUGACUAAGAAGCACCGGCUAAAUACGUGCC
This 485-nucleotide ribosomal RNA is filed under the name uncultured organism. RNAcentral's name for it is "SSU rRNA". It matches the Rfam family "Bacterial small subunit ribosomal RNA", at positions 31 to 509 of the family's 1533-position model. The record is from RNAcentral.